Molecule: long non-coding RNA, 831 nt
Organism: Macaca mulatta (Rhesus monkey)
Lineage: Eukaryota; Metazoa; Chordata; Mammalia; Primates; Cercopithecidae
Source: RefSeq, a predicted model, not a curated record
UGGCCAGGGUUUCACUGUUCUAACUGAUGAAAAACAUUUGUGCCGUAUUCAAAGGGCUGAAUAACCAGCUCAUAACAACAGGCCACAUUUAUGGGGGAAAUUGGAGGAGUCACUUCAGUCCAAGCAGCCCAGACUAGUUCAGACCAGAUGCGGAAAGUGGAAGAGUAAAAGUGCCGGCCCCAGGGAGGCCAACUCAGGACACCGGCCGCAGAAGCCGAAAUGUACAGGAGAUAGGACUUAUCCCAAGACACACUUCACUUGUGCUCACGAGGACCUUCAGUGCAACAGCAGCAAACUUUGGUUUAAAUGAAGUCACUGAGAAACUCACUGCACAGAAACGGAUAAAAGUAUAAUUGUGACCUUAGGGGACAUCUGAGUUCCCUAAAUAAGAAAGAGAGCUGGUGAAAGAAACAGGUUCACUGUGCUGGGCAAAGUGAAUGACUCCUGACUACAUUCACCCUGGUGAUCUUUCCCUUUUUGGGUCAGAUGGUUCCCUUCAGUUUAAUGAUCUUCCAUUUGCUGAGCAGCCUGCUAGGCUCUGAAGAAGAAAUUUCAACUAACAUCAGACUAAUUAUCAUCUGCCACUCUCCCCCAGUGCAGUAGGGCCUGCAGUGACAUGUACCAUUUCACCAAGCCUUGCCUAUGGCCCACCAGCAGCAUCCAUGCGGGGCAAAGCUUGAUUGAGAAGAAUAAAGCUCAUGGAUGGAACUCGGGGGACAUUAUGUUAGAAGAAAAUAAGCCAAGAACACAAAGUCAAACACUGCGUGUUCUCAUUCAUAUGUGGAAACUAAAAAAGUUGAUGUUGGCGAAGCGCGGUGGCUCAUGCCUAUA